UAUCAACUGUUUAAAGAUGGUUCUGCUACACUCUUGGGAUGGGACCCUGCGGUGCAUUAGCUAGUUGGUAGGGUAACGGGCCUACCAAGGCGAUGAUGCAUAGCCCCGAGUUGAGAGACUGAUCGGGCCACAUUGGGGACUGAGACACGGGCCCAAAACUCCUACGGGGAGGCAGCAGUAGGGAAUCUUCCACAAUGGACGCAAGUCUGAUGGAGCAACGCCGCGUGAGUGAAGAGGGGUUUCGGCUCGUAAAAGCUCUGUUGUUGGUGAAGAAGGACAGGGGUAGUAACUGACCUUUGUUUGACGGUAAUCAAUUAGAAGUCACGGCUAACUACGUGCCAGCAGCCGCGGUAAU
Molecule: ribosomal RNA, 355 nt
Filed under: uncultured Lactobacillus sp.
Lineage: Bacteria; Bacillati; Bacillota; Bacilli; Lactobacillales; Lactobacillaceae
Description: bacterial SSU rRNA
Rfam family: Bacterial small subunit ribosomal RNA
Source: RNAcentral